UACGGAGGGGCUAGCGUUGUUCGGAAUUACUGGGCGUAAAGCGCACGUAGGCGGCUUUGUAAGUUAGAGGUGAAAGCCCGGGGCUCAACUCCGGAAUUGCCUUUAAGACUGCAUCGCUAGAAUUGUGGAGAGGUAAGUGGGAAUUCCGAGUGUAGAGGUGGAAAUUCGUAGAUAUUCGGAAGAACACCAGUGGCGAAGGCGAACUUACUGGACACAUAUUGACGCUGAGGUGGCGGAAAAGCGUGGGGAGCAAACAGGGAUUAAGA
Molecule: ribosomal RNA, 266 nt
Filed under: uncultured bacterium
Lineage: Bacteria
Description: partial 16S ribosomal RNA
Rfam family: Bacterial small subunit ribosomal RNA
Source: RNAcentral